GGAGGCAGCUGUCUACGGUGGGGCUGAUGAUUGGGGUGAAGUCGUAACAAGGUAGCCGUAGGGGAACCUGCGGCUGGAUCACCUCCUUU
This 89-nucleotide non-coding RNA is filed under the name Halodesulfovibrio spirochaetisodalis. RNAcentral describes it as "Bacterial small subunit ribosomal RNA". It matches the Rfam family "Bacterial small subunit ribosomal RNA", at positions 1445 to 1533 of the family's 1533-position model. The record is from Rfam by way of RNAcentral. Lineage: Bacteria; Pseudomonadati; Thermodesulfobacteriota; Desulfovibrionia; Desulfovibrionales; Desulfovibrionaceae.